AGUGAACGCUGGCGGUAGGCCUAACACAUGCAAGUCGAACGGCAGCACAGUAAGAGCUUGCUCUUACGGGUGGCGAGUGGCGGACGGGUGAGGAAUACAUCGGAAUCUACUUUUUCGUGGGGGAUAACGUAGGGAAACUUACGCUAAUACCGCAUACGACCUACGGGUGAAAGCAGGGGAUCUUCGGACCUUGCGCGAUUGAAUGAGCCGAUGUCGGAUUAGCUAGUUGGCGGGGUAAAGGCCCACCAAGGCGACGAUCCGUAGCUGGUCUGAGAGGAUGAUCAGCCACACUGGAACUGAGACACGGUCCAGACUCCUACGGGAGGCAGCAGUGGGGAAUAUUGGACAAUGGGCGCAAGCCUGAUCCAGCCAUACCGCGUGGGUGAAGAAGGCCUUCGGGUUGUAAAGCCCUUUUGCUGGGAAAGAAAAGCAGCAGGUUAAUACCCCGCUGUUCUGACGGUACCCAAAGAAUAAGCACCGGCUAACUUCGUA
Molecule: ribosomal RNA, 492 nt
Filed under: uncultured bacterium
Lineage: Bacteria
Description: partial 16S ribosomal RNA
Rfam family: Bacterial small subunit ribosomal RNA
Source: RNAcentral